AAUGGGCGAAAGCCUGAUGCAGCAACGCCGCGUGAGUGAUGAAGGCCUUCGGGUUGUAAAGCUCUGUCUUUUGGGACGAUAAUGACGGUACCAAAGGAGGAAGCCACGGCUAACUACGUGCCAGCAGCCGCGGUAAUACGUAGGUGGCGAGCGUUGUCCGGAUUUACUGGGCGUAAAGGAUGCGUAGGCGGACUUUUAAGUGAGAUGUGAAAUACCCGGGCUUAACUUGGGUGCUGCAUUUCAAACUGGAAGUCUAGAGUGCGGGAGAGGAGAGUGGAAUUCCUAGUGUAGCGGUGAAAUGCGUAGAGAUUAGGAAGAACACCAGUGGCGAAGGCGACUCUCUGGACCGUAACUGACGCUGAGGCAUGAAAGCGUGGGUAGCAAA
This 385-nucleotide ribosomal RNA is filed under the name uncultured bacterium. RNAcentral's name for it is "bacterial SSU rRNA". It matches the Rfam family "Bacterial small subunit ribosomal RNA", at positions 370 to 772 of the family's 1533-position model. The record is from RNAcentral.